UGGGAUUAAAGAUGUGCGCUGCCUCC
RNAcentral lists this non-coding RNA (26 nucleotides) under Mus musculus (house mouse). The record is from RNAcentral. Lineage: Eukaryota; Metazoa; Chordata; Mammalia; Rodentia; Muridae.